Molecule: ribosomal RNA, 503 nt
Filed under: uncultured bacterium
Lineage: Bacteria
Description: partial 16S ribosomal RNA
Rfam family: Bacterial small subunit ribosomal RNA
Source: RNAcentral
AUUGAACGCUGGCGGCAGGCUUAACACAUGCAAGUCGAGCGGGGUGAUGGUGCUUGCACUAUCACUUAGCGGCGGACGGGUGAGUAAUGCUUAGGAAUCUGCCUAUUAGUGGGGGACAACAUCUCGAAAGGGAUGCUAAUACCGCAUACGUCCUACGGGAGAAAGCAGGGGAUCACUUGUGACCUUGCGCUAAUAGAUGAGCCUAAGUCGGAUUAGCUAGUUGGUGGGGUAAAGGCCUACCAAGGCGACGAUCUGUAGCGGGUCUGAGAGGAUGAUCCGCCACACGGGGACUGAGACACGGCCCAGACUCCUACGGGAGGCAGCAGUGGGGAAUAUUGGACAAUGGGGGGAACCCUGAUCUAGCCAUGCCGCGUGUGUGAAGAAGGCCUUAUGGUUGUAAAGCACUUUAAGCGAGGAGGAGGCUCUUUUGGUUAAUACCCAAGAUGAGUGGACGUUACUCGCAGAAUAAGCACCGGCUAACUCUGUGCCAGCAGCCGCCGUAA